GUGUUGUAUGAAAGGAGAAAAGGUUAGCACUCCCAUUGACAAGGAUGGAAGAGACCCUCUGUCCAGACAACAUCCAUACGGUUAAGGCAUUGCCACCUACUUUCUGGCAUCUAACCAACGUUUCUG
Molecule: small nuclear RNA, 126 nt
Organism: Ailuropoda melanoleuca (giant panda)
Lineage: Eukaryota; Metazoa; Chordata; Mammalia; Carnivora; Ursidae
Source: Ensembl